Long non-coding RNA from Rosa rugosa (rugosa rose), 985 nucleotides. RefSeq lists it as uncharacterized. The transcript has 3 exons. The record is from RefSeq and is a predicted model, not a curated record. NCBI's taxonomy places the organism in Eukaryota, Viridiplantae, Streptophyta, Magnoliopsida, Rosales, Rosaceae.
UUAACCAAAACAGUUGGUGGCAAACACCUUUGUUAAAAGGAAGGGUGUUCCUUGAUUCAAGGCCGGUGUCUUAAUCAUCAUUCAUGAUUAUGCAUAAUUGAAUAAUCAUUCAAUCAUACCAGACAACUCUCUCUCACUCUCUCUGUCUCACGUCCGAAAACCAUCCAAGAAACAGAGCAAUCUUCAUCAACUCAUCUCUCCCUCCACCGACCACCAAUCAAGACCAGACCAGUUCCUAUAGUUCCACCUCGUUCUUGCGCAGCUACCAGUGGCAACCUUGCACCGCAACACGGCCGGCAGUGGCGGCGGAGGACACGGUUCCGUUUUGAGCUCGAUUUGGUUCUAUCUCGAUAUCUUGAGCUACAGGCCGCCAAUUCUCUUGAUUCUUGUCUCAUUGGAUUCGCCUCAACUUUCUGAACAAGCACCAAGAAGGACCAGACCUGGGUAGAACGAUUUCACGUUCAUCGGAGCUCGACUGGUUUAGAUCGACAAACAACCCUUCGAUCCGUGUAUCUCGAGUUACAGACCACCUCUUUAUGUGAUUCUUGGCUUAGUGAGUUCGUCUUGAAGUUCUGAACAACUCUCCAGAAGGAAUAGAAGCGUUUCGUUGAAGUUUUUACGUCGAAACUCAAGCUCGCCGGAUUCUGGAAUUUUUCCGACCACCGAAGCUUUCGAUCGGUAUAUCUCGAGCUACAGACCAUAUUUUUCUGUGAUUCUUGAACCAAUGAGUUCACCUUGAGUUUCUUAACAACUCUCUAGAAGGGAUCAAAGCCUGAAAUUGAAGUUUUGACGUCGAAAUCAAGCCUUGCCGGAUUCUGCAAAUUUCGCCGGAUUCUGGAAAUUUUCCGGCCACCUCGACUGUUUUAGGUGAUUGACGGUCUCCCUUGGGUGAGCGAUUUCGGUGUGUAUUGUGUUAAACUGAAGACGCAGCGGGAAUAUCGAGCGGGUAAUCCUACAGGUCAAGAGAAUCAGGACGGAGAUCGAG